Molecule: long non-coding RNA, 341 nt
Organism: Chiloscyllium plagiosum (whitespotted bambooshark)
Lineage: Eukaryota; Metazoa; Chordata; Chondrichthyes; Orectolobiformes; Hemiscylliidae
Source: RefSeq, a predicted model, not a curated record
UCCAGCAAUUUCUGUUUUCGUUUCAGACUUCCAGCAUCUGCCCUUCUUUGGUGUUAAUGAAAAGAAUUUCUUGGGGUUGACAGUGAAGAUAUUUUCUCUGACAGGGGAGGAAUGAGACCACUCUGGGCUAAGGUAUUAUUGAAUUUCCUCCUUUGAAUACAACACGAUACCUGAGCUGUACAAAUGAACGCCCUGCUGUUGGAAAUGGGUCUGUCAAUAAACAGAUGGUCUCGAAAUUUUCAAAAGACCAAGAUUCUCACUGGAUGCUGCGUCCUCGGUUGGAGUUUAACAUUGUUCUAUUGAAAUUCCACCCUGGGGGAAAUCAUCAAACACUGUCCACA